This 932-nucleotide long non-coding RNA is filed under the name Pan troglodytes (chimpanzee). RNAcentral describes it as "lncRNA (ENSPTRG00000054062.1)". The record is from RNAcentral. Lineage: Eukaryota; Metazoa; Chordata; Mammalia; Primates; Hominidae.
AUGACAGGUGUGCUAAUAUUUUCAUGUGAGCCUCCCUGCGUCAUUUUAAUUUCAGGUUUUCCUGGUGUCUUUGCAAAAGCUCAGGAUCGGACUUUGUCAGCAAGGUGGGUCCCUCCUCUCGGCAUAGCAAGCUUGUUUCUACCCUGGUCCCGAGAACCUCAGAGGCUGAAGCUUGAGUCCCCACCUGAAGGUGUCCGCUUUUCCAGAACAGCAAGGAAGAACCAUGGCCCAGGUGAGUGUGGCAUUUCUUUCUACUGCAUUUUUUCAGCAGGGAUUUCGGAUGCUCAUAAGAACAUGACUAAUAAAGGCUGGGCGUGGUGGCUCACGCUGGUAAUCCCAGCACUGUGGGAGGCCAAAGUAGGCGGAUCACCUGAGGUCAGGAGUUCAAGACCAGCCUGGCCAACGUGGUGAAACCGUGUCUCUACUAAAAAUACAAAAUUAGACAGGUGUGGUGGCACGAGCCUGUAAUCCCAGCUACUCAGGAGGCUGAGGCAGGGGAAUCACUUGAACCCAGGAGGUAGAGGUUGCACUGAGCUGAGAUCGCGCCAUUGCACUGCAGCCUGGGUGACAGAGUGAGACUCUGUCUUAAAAAAAAAAAAAAAAAAAUGGGUAUCCGAUAAAACAAAAUGCAAACGGAAAUCAGGAUCAGUGAAAACAGGAAGAGAAUGGAAGAUCAAGGUUGUGGGAAGGGCAGGGUGGAGAUACUGUAGAGGCUGCCGCAGUUAUGAGAUGCCUUAUAAAUUUUUUUUUUUUUUGAGACGGAGUCUUGCUCUGUCACCCAGGCUGGAAUACAGUGGCAUAAUCUUGGCUCACUGCAACCUCUGCCUCCUGGGUUCAAGCGAUUCUCCUGCCUCAGCCUCCUUACAGGCACUUGCCACCACACACAGCUAAUUUUUGUAUUUUUAGUAAAGACAGGGUUUCACCACAUUGGC